CAACUCGGGGACCAGUUAAAAUUACAGUUUUGUUUGGGAUAAACUUUAAGUGCCUGCUUUCCUUCAGUGCCCCCAUUUAAAGUUUUCUUGACAUGAAGAUCCUAGAGGCAUUUUCUUCAGAACUGAACCAGGGGUAAUCAGUCUCUGUAGGGGAUCACAGCAAACUGCUUCAAGAAAAGCUUCAGGAGUCGCCUGUGUCUUCCCACAACACCUGCUGUCACAGGACUGAUAUUUCUUAACAAGCCCUGCCUCUCCACCCCUGCCUCCAAGACCAGGACUCCGCCCCAUCAGCUGGCCCCUGUGACAUGCUCCCCCAACCCCAAUUAAUUCUUCCUACUGCACUCAAAAAGACAUCGCCACAAGGAAAGGAGACAUUUAUAUAAUUAUUUUUCCUGUACUGUUGGUGCGAAGCCAGUUACCAGGCACUGUGCAGGUAACCCAUGAAUAUCUCUUGAAUUUGCUGAAUCAUAAACUGUCAUCAAAGAGACACAAACCAACUUAGCUCAGCCCACUGAUGGUCUCGAUUGAGUGAUCCUAUAAAAAUAUCAUUAUUUCCUCACUUUUGAGUUGUCCACAUGAGAAAAUGUGGUUAGAGGAAAGCCUUUUUAUUCAACAUGAUCAGGAUGGAUAGCUGGUUGUUUAAGCAAAUAAAAUCUGUUAAUGUAAGAACUCACAAAUACAAAAAUGUAUUUCUCCCUUAUUCAUUUAACCUAACGUAUAUAAAUAUAUGUCCAUUUACCAAUCUUUUUAGGUAGGGC
RNAcentral lists this long non-coding RNA (758 nucleotides) under Homo sapiens (human). RNAcentral describes it as "HSALNT0069515". Lineage: Eukaryota; Metazoa; Chordata; Mammalia; Primates; Hominidae. The record is from RNAcentral.